GUGCUCGCUUAAGCAGUGCAUAUACUAAAAUUGCAACGACACAGAGAAGAUUAGCAUGGCCCCUGCACAAGGUAAAUGGUAAUAUGGGUUUUUAACAUUUAUUU
Small nuclear RNA from Phodopus roborovskii (desert hamster), 104 nucleotides. The record is from RefSeq and is a predicted model, not a curated record. NCBI's taxonomy places the organism in Eukaryota, Metazoa, Chordata, Mammalia, Rodentia, Cricetidae.